UACGUAGGGUGCGAGCGUUGUCCGGAAUCAUUGGGCGUAAAGCGCGUGUAGGCGGUCCGGUAAGUCCGCUGUGAAAGUCGGGGGCUCAACCCUCGAAUGCCGGUGGAUACUGUCGGGCUAGAGUGCGGAAGAGGCGAGUGGAAUUCCUGGUGUAGCGGUGAAAUUCGUAGAUAUUGGGAAGAACACCGAUGGCGAAGGCAGCCAUCUGGACCGACACUGACGCUGAGGCGCGAAAGCGUGGGGAGCAAACAGG
RNAcentral lists this ribosomal RNA (253 nucleotides) under uncultured bacterium. RNAcentral's name for it is "partial 16S ribosomal RNA". It matches the Rfam family "Bacterial small subunit ribosomal RNA", at positions 524 to 776 of the family's 1533-position model. The record is from RNAcentral.